GGACCGGUAGUUCAGUUGGUUAGAAUGCCGCCCUGUCACGGCGGAGGUCGCGGGUUCGAGUCCCGUCCGGUCCGCCA
This 77-nucleotide transfer RNA is filed under the name Parcubacteria group bacterium CG2_30_48_51. RNAcentral describes it as "tRNA-Asp". It matches the Rfam family "tRNA". From Rfam's summary of the family: Transfer RNA (tRNA) molecules are approximately 80 nucleotides in length. RNAcentral also lists the same sequence under 10 other names. The record is from RNAcentral.